UACCCUACAGUGAGGAAUACCGGCGAGAAAUUGCCGACAAGACCGCAUACGCGCUCUGGUUCAAUCCAGAGCGCAAAGCUUCGUGGCGACAUGAGGCGCUGUGGGAUGGGCCCGUGGUCGAUUAGCUAGUUGGCGAGGUAAAAGCUCCCCAAGGCGACGAUCGAUAGCUGGUCUGAGAGGACGAUCAGCCACACUGGGAUUGAGAACGGCCCAG
Molecule: ribosomal RNA, 214 nt
Filed under: uncultured bacterium
Lineage: Bacteria
Description: partial 16S ribosomal RNA
Rfam family: Bacterial small subunit ribosomal RNA
Source: RNAcentral